Herpailurus yagouaroundi (jaguarundi) is the source of this 1167-nucleotide long non-coding RNA. RefSeq lists it as uncharacterized. Lineage: Eukaryota; Metazoa; Chordata; Mammalia; Carnivora; Felidae. The transcript has 3 exons. The record is from RefSeq and is a predicted model, not a curated record.
CGAUGCGGGAUUCAAACUCAUGAGCCGCGAGAUCGUGACCCGAGCGGAAGUUGGAUGCUUAACUGGCUGAACCGCCCAGGCGCCCCUGUUGUGUGGAAUGCUUUUAAACUUUAAGCGUGACGUUUAUGUUUCCGCUACAUUAUUUUUUUAUUGUGGUAAAAUGUGCAUAACGUAAAACGGACCGUUUUAGCCGUUUUUGAGUGUGCACUUCGGUGGCAAGAAGUACAUUCACGUUGUGGUGCAACCGUCACCUCCAGAAAUGUUCACCUUCCCGAACUGAAAGUCUACCCCUUAAACGCUGACUCCCCACCCCUCCCGCCUCCAGCCCCAGCCCAUAGCAGCCCCCGCUUUCUGUCUUUAUGAAUUCAACUAUUCUAGACCUCAGAGGGCUCCCUUGUGUCUGGCUUGACCCAGCACAGUGACUUCCAGAGCUCAUGCACGCGGUACGCAUCUCAGGGUGUCAUUCCCCUCAUGGCCGAAUAGCAUUUCAUUGUACGGACCACACUGUGUUUAUCCGUCGUUCGGCGGUGGACAUUGGGGUGGUUUUCACGCUGGUAUUUUUAAGGCUCCGGAGUGAUACUCAUGACCCAUCAGGGAUGAAAAUCGAGGUCUUAGACCAGUGGUUCUUAAGCCUGGCUGAGCAUCCAAAUCACCUAGUAGCUGUUAAAAAAACAAGCCAAUGCCUGGUGAGCAUCACAGACCUGCAGACCAGCUGAAUUGGAUUCUCUGGAGGGGGACCCCGGAGUCUGCAAGAAUCUGCAGUUACUUCCAGAAGGCCAGGGUGUGAAGACUCAUUUCCAGAAACCCUGCGAAACCACCUCAGUUGAGAGCCGCUGCCCUGUGAGUGCCUGAUACUUGGGUAGGAGGCUAAGAUACCAGAUGGAGAAGCGGCAGCAGGAACGCACUGGCCCAGCCUGGCCGGGGAGGGGUGCUGUCUGGGGGCAGGCCCGGCAAUGAUGAGUGAGACUUCUGGUGACAUCAAACCUUCUCCUUCGGAAGCUGGUUCAGCGGGCUGUCAAUCAUAGUCACUAACCCUGCCCUGCCCUGCGAGACACUGGAGUCAAGCAAGGAGCAGCCACUGCACCCUGUUGCCCAGUCACUGGGUUGAUGAAUGAGACAACCCUGAAGGUCUAUUGAGUUCCUGGAUCCAGCCUGACCUGAAGCUAG